Molecule: non-coding RNA, 612 nt
Organism: Caretta caretta (loggerhead turtle)
Lineage: Eukaryota; Metazoa; Chordata; Testudines; Cheloniidae
Source: RefSeq, a predicted model, not a curated record
GAAACAUGCCCUGACUGAAGGUGACAGACCAAGCUUCACCGAGGUCUGCGCUCUGCCUGGGGCCUGUGCCGGGAAGAGGAGCACAGAGAGGGAGCAACGCGGGCUUCAGAAUUUCACCCAUGAUUCCUUCAUCAAACCCAUAACUUCUGGUUGAGCUAGAGCAUUUUCUUCUAGAAAGGCAUCCUGUCUUGAUGUAAAGGCUUCAAGUGACGGAGAGUCCACCACAUCCGUAGUCUGAAGAAAGAGAGAUCCUGUGCCGUGAGCCAAGAAAAAUACAGAAGACACGAGACUUGGGCCAGAUUGUUUCCUAGUGAGAAUGUGCUCCAGCAGGCAUGGAAGGAUGCAACGCUGAGCGUCCUUCACUCCCACUGAACACGACGUGGACUGAGGACGCUAAAAACCUUGCAGGGUCUGGCUGAAUCUGGCAAUGGCCCCAACACCUUCUAGGAAGGGAAGGCCGGAGGAGGUGAGCUGUCUGAAUGGUGGCCCUUUUGCACUGAGGAAAGCUGAGACACUUGUGCAGUCCUGCCUUUUCUAUUAGAUUUGCCCUCCCAGUGGGUUAGGUAAACCCAUCUCUGUCCCUCUGUGUCCUGUUCUCCAAAGAUAAGUAGC